GGGAGAGACCCCUCUGGUGUGGAAAAAGACCAGAGGUGGCUUGAGAGGAAGAAGCAUAAUAAAAUCAUGGAGAAGGGUGACAGGGUUGAAGCAACAGGAUGAGAGAUCUCAAGCACGCUGCUAAAUGUUGUGGCCUGACAAAACUACAUGGCUUCCUUUAUCAAGACAGCUGUGUUUUUACAUAAAUAAUCUUAAUUUGGCCUGCAGAAGGAUUACGCCUGACACUCAAAUGUACUAACUUGAAAGGUCACCUUGACUUCCCCAAGGAGUUUACUUCAAGGCAUUCAGGAUGCCAGACCAGAAAGCCUCACAGACUGAGGCACUGAUUGCUUGGAUAAACCUUGUGAAAAGUUGGUGGAUGCAGUAUGACUGAGCAAAAGUACUUGACUUAUCAAAAACACCAUCAGUUUGAAUAGAGCUAUAAAGAUAACCAAAACAUAUCCUGCUUUCCUCAAUUGCUUUUCAGAAGUGUUUGAGCAUUCUGUGAUACAAUUCAACUCUAAAUUUUAUAUGUGGCUCUUCAGUUCCUACAGGACGCAGGAGAGGUGGUAGCUUUCCUCUAGUAUGAGGAAGUUAAUCCUGAAUAUUGUCUCCAGCAAAAUUACAAGAGCCUGAAAGGCAGGCAGCUUUCCCUGAAGCUUGGAUUUCAUGAAUAUCAUCUGAGUGCACUAAGGGGCCUUCCUGGCCCUGACAAGCUGCACAGAGGACUCUACCCCACCCCUGCCUGAGGUCCCAGGAGGUCCCUUUCAAGUAACCUUGGGCCUUCAGUCCUACUGCCUCUCUGGUGUAGGAGCAGCCUCCAGCUCAGCCAUGGACCCUGUGGACUGGCUUCGGACUUGUUUUGUCGCUACUGACCUGCCCAGUGAUCCCCAUCUACCCUCACCAGACUUGGCCCUGCCCAGCAGAACUGACCAUCCAGCUUGACCUUGGACCUGCCCCACCACCAUGAACUGGCCUGAUGAGCGGCAGUCCCAGCUGAAGCUGGCACAGGUGUCUCGCUCAGGCACCGCAGGGCUGGUGAAGCCCUGUAGCUGCUGGCCAUCUCAUUGCGCUCACCUCCUGCCUCUCCAUACCCUAGGCAGCCCCGGCCCUCGCUGCACCAUGGCCUUUCACUGAAGAACACUUCUAGAUAACUUCAGGGGUUUUUGAUCUGGAUAAAAAGAGCACCAAAAUUGCAAGCUAGGAUCUCAAAAGUUAAGAACUAGUAGAAUCAAGUUUGCUAGAGUGGGGUCCCCUUGUGAAAUGCAGACUGUCCCCCAUGGGCACACAUUGCGGGGUCGGGGGGGUAUUAGCAGUGGCUGUGAACAAGCAUGAGCACCCAAAGCAGCAUAGCUGUGAUGGUGUGAGGUGCCCUAGCAGGUUAAUUUAUUUUGCUGAAGGAUAAUAUGAUAAUAGCUUAACUGACUUGCUGAAACACUAUAGCAGGAAAUUUGAGACACAAAUAAGGACAGAAUUCACUUUUCCAAGGUAGCGUUCAUUCGUUAGAGCUGCUUUUUCUUCUUGCACUGACUCAUUUAUUUUGUUUUCUCUCUCUUAGAAAUGAGUACAAGGGCGAUACUUCAUACAGCUUAUUAAGAGCACAAGUCCUUUUUAUUCCCACAGGACAACUAAUGUUCUAAUACUAUAUGGUUUAUGGCAAUAAACUGCUGUAUUCAUACUCACAGAAACGCCAAAACCCAUCUAACUUGUGAGUGCUAUACUUUGUGAUCUGCAUUAGAAGAACAUGAAUACAAUGCGGGAGUCCAAAUGUGAGUACAUACUCAUGGUGUUUGAAAUAGUCAUAUAUAGGCAUAUAUAUAUACCUCUGUGUAUGAGUGCAUGUGUGUGUGUGUGUAUCAGCAGUGAGUGCAUACGUGUGCUGCAUCAGCAGUACAAAGAAGUCGUUACUCACAGCUGUGAAAUCAGAUGGAUAUAAUAUGUUACUUAUAUUUUAUUAAGUUCCAUUUUAUAUGUGUGCGUUACAGGUAACUAGCUACCAUAUUAAAAAAAAGCAAGACACUAAAAUGGCAGUAAAACACACUUAGCUGGAGGGCUUAGGAUUGGGGAUAGUAGAGUGAGGGAGGCGGGGCGAGAGAGAGAGAAGUUGACAGGCUAAAGCAAACGUACAUGGAAAUGUCUACAAAUUGUUAUAUCACAUCUCUACACAGGCCUGUGAUUCAUGAAUGCUGGAGUUCGUUGCAUGGUGUGCAGGUGAUACAUUCAAAUAACUUGGAGGCUUUUUGUAUAUGUUUACUUUACCCUUUGUCACUACUUUCCCUUACUAUCUCAUGAUUUUCAGUCAUUCUCCUCUUCCUGCUUUUUCCUCAUCUCUGUACAGGCUUUUUUCCUUCUUCCUGCAGCCUGGACACUAGUAGGAAGGAGAUGAGCACCUAAGUCACAGGGUUCUUUAUGAACUAGAAAGAGCAGUUGCAGGAUCAGUCCAAAUCAUGAGAGAAUCUUUAGAUAUCUUUUUCUUCUGAAGUCUAGUGUUCUACUGAGCAUUUUCUGGCUAGAAGAUUUGACCGAAUUACAGUUUGGAUAAUUUUGAUGAUGGAAGCAGUAUAUGACUACCUGGGACCUGGAAGAUGCUUCUGCCAAAUUUUAUGUUUGUGGUCCACAGUUUGGAGACACUAGAAUUCAUCGGUGAAACAUUUGCAAGAGUUUUG
Long non-coding RNA from Grus americana (Whooping crane), 2645 nucleotides. RefSeq lists it as uncharacterized. The transcript is spliced from 6 exons. The record is from RefSeq and is a predicted model, not a curated record. Lineage: Eukaryota; Metazoa; Chordata; Aves; Gruiformes; Gruidae.